GCCAGAGAGUGGUGGAGCCAUGCGGAAUUCAUUGCAGAGAGUGGAGUAGGGUAGUGGCCAUUGUCGUGACUUGCCAGGGAGUUCGGAUCUAUCAGUGGGAGCUCGACUGGGAUGUCUGAUGGAGCGGAAUGGCUCUCUAUCUCAUCGAUCUAGGAGAAACUUGAUGGAUUAUUUGAUGAUUAAGGAGGUCUGGGGUUGGGUUGAGUGAAGGUAGGUCUAUUUGAGUUU
This 228-nucleotide long non-coding RNA is filed under the name Elaeis guineensis (African oil palm). Its description in RNAcentral is "long non-coding RNA (EGUI_LNC061568)". The record is from RNAcentral. Lineage: Eukaryota; Viridiplantae; Streptophyta; Magnoliopsida; Arecales; Arecaceae.